Molecule: ribosomal RNA, 253 nt
Filed under: uncultured bacterium
Lineage: Bacteria
Description: partial 16S ribosomal RNA
Rfam family: Bacterial small subunit ribosomal RNA
Source: RNAcentral
UACGUAGGGAGCAAGCGUUGUCCGGAAUCAUUGGGCGUAAAGCGCGCGUAGGCGGCUUUGUAAGUUAGAGGUGAAAGCCCGGAGCUCAACUCCGGAACUGCCUUUAAGACUGCAUCGCUUGAAUCCAGGAGAGGUGAGUGGAAUUCCGAGUGUAGAGGUGAAAUGCGUAGAUAUUGGAAGGAACACCAGUGGCGAAGGCGGCCACCUGGACAAACACUGACACUGAGGCACGAAAGCGUGGGUAGCGAACAGG